Molecule: long non-coding RNA, 838 nt
Filed under: Lathyrus oleraceus (garden pea)
Lineage: Eukaryota; Viridiplantae; Streptophyta; Magnoliopsida; Fabales; Fabaceae
Description: Pisum sativum (pea) long non-coding RNA (PSAT_LNC008880)
Source: RNAcentral
UCAUGUACAAAUGAGGGAGGCUACCUUAGAUCUGAUAAAGGACCAUAGAAAAAAUCAUGAAAUAUUGAAGGUAAUUUUCUAUUCUUGGUUGAUUUUUUUGAUAGAUUUUGGCAUAUGUAAUUGGCUGACAUUUAUAAUUCUUUGCAAAUUUUAUGAUUGUUUGAGUUAAGUAAUUGUUGCUGCGACAUGUAUUUCACUGAAAGCUAACUUUAGUUAAAUCCAAAUCUUCAACCCUUUUUCCAUUUCAUCUCCUAAUUAAUAUAAUUGGUCAAAAAAGAAUGGUAUUUUCCAUCUAAUUUCCCCAGAGAUAUUUAUUCAAUUAUAUUUUCUAGUCUAUACUUGCAUUGCAUCUAGCUUAGAAUUUCGUUCUUGCAAUGAAGAAGAAACUAAACUUGAUUUCUCCGAGAUACCAGCCUAACAACUUUGCCUUUGCACCUACUAUCGAUUAUGUGUUUUAGUAAUCAUAUUAUCUAUUAUUAUUCUCACAAUAGAAGCUUCCUCCUCAUAAAAAUAUUUUCAAAAUGAUUUGUUUAGAUUUUGUAGUUAAUUUGUUCGUUUUGAUCCUGAUAUACUUUGUUAUAUUUUUUUAGGCAAAAUUUGAUUUUUAGAGUGACUUGUUCUAGAGGGACAUAUAUUCGGUCACUUUGUGCAGAUUUUGGGAAGGCUCUUGGCAAGUAUUAGUUUCUGCGAGAAACCUUGCAUAAUUGGUAGAAGUUGAGUCUCACACUGUUAUCUUGUUCGUGAUUUAUUUGUUGUUUAAUUUAACCUCUAUAAUUAGUCUUAUGAUUUGAUGUUAUCCCACUAAUGUUCAGUUUUAUACAUAAGCAAUGAAAGUUUU